RNAcentral lists this long non-coding RNA (829 nucleotides) under Struthio camelus australis. RNAcentral describes it as "lncRNA (ENSSCUG00000007829.1)". The record is from RNAcentral. Lineage: Eukaryota; Metazoa; Chordata; Aves; Struthioniformes; Struthionidae.
CAGGGCUUGAAUCUAGAGAAAGAGAGAAGGAACUGCCAAACAUGAAGAAAAAGACACUAACUUCCUGCAAAGCCACCAGACUGGAAAAAAGGUGAAUUAUUAUGAAAGCCAUUUUCAACAUUUUAUGAAGAAUACAAAUCCCAAAUCACUCAAAAACCUAAGAGGGGACACCAGUGAUGAAAAACGUUCACCAAGUUGAAUUCUGCUUUCCUGCCUCCUUUAUAAAAGCUGGUUCACCGUGUUCUUUGUGAUUAUUGGUCUUUGGAAUGCUGAAAGGAUGAUGGAGCACUGGAGGUCCAUGAUAUGGGCUGUGUGUGAAGUGCAUGAAUACCUACUUCUUAUUGCUGAAGAAUUUAUACAAGAUAAGCCCAUAGGAGCAAGGACUUCCCAGCUCAUUCACAAACUUUCUCAAGUUAUCAGUCUCUUGAUUGGACAAAAGUUUCAGGACAGCGCCACAGGAAAUGGACCACUUACUUUCAACACCCUUCGCAUUUGGAGUGGUCAAGAGAAAAUCCACGAAAGUGGUUACAAUCAUGAGAGAUCCUGCCUUUAUCUGGACUUGCAAAGAUGCUGUCACUAUGAUGUAACCACUGCCCUGAAUGGCGGUGUUCUUUGGAUAGCCAGUGACACUGAGGCAAUCCAUUUUGCUUUCCCAGGCCUCUGCUGCUGAGAUUCAUCAGUCAUGACAAGCAUAAACUCCAGCACCCAAAUCCAAUUUUGAGAGCAUGGCGGAUCUCAUCUUUAGCCAUCUCAUCAGGAGACACAUUCCUGUGGUAGUUAGUGUCCAUACAUCAUCACGAAACAAAAGCUACUCCACUGCAGGGUAACA